RNAcentral lists this ribosomal RNA (419 nucleotides) under Natrialba aegyptia. Its description in RNAcentral is "bacterial SSU rRNA". It matches the Rfam family "Archaeal small subunit ribosomal RNA", at positions 921 to 1336 of the family's 1478-position model. The record is from RNAcentral. Lineage: Archaea; Methanobacteriati; Methanobacteriota; Halobacteria; Halobacteriales; Natrialbaceae.
GACAUCUCACCAGCAUCGACAGUGUGCAGUGACGGUCAGUGUGAUGAGCUUACCUGAGCCACUGAGAGGAGGUGCAUGGCCGCCGUCAGCUCGUACCGUGAGGCGUCCUGUUAAGUCAGGCAACGAGCGAGACCCGCACCCUUAAUUGCCAGCAACACCCUUGUGGUGGUUGGGUACAUUAAGAGGACUGCCAGUGCCAAACUGGAGGAAGGAACGGGCAACGGUAGGUCAGUAUGCCCCGAAUGUGCUGGGCGACACGCGGGCUACAAUGGUCGAGACAGUGGGAUGCAACGCCGAAAGGCGACGCUAAUCUCCGAAACUCGAUCGUAGUUCGGAUUGAGGGCUGAAACUCGCCCUCAUGAAGCUGGAUUCGGUAGUAAUCGCGCCUCAGAAGGGCGCGGUGAAUACGUCCCUGCUCC